GGAUUAGAUACCCUGGUAGUCCACGCUGUAAACGAUCAUCACUCGCUGUUGGCGAUACACUGUCAGCGGCCAAGCGAAAGCAUUAAGUGAUGCACCUGGGGAGUACGGUCGCAAGAUUGAAACUCAAAGGAAUUGACGGGGGCCCGCACAAGCGGUGGAGCAUGUGGUUUAAUUCGAUGAUACGCGAGGAACCUUACCAGGGCUUAAAUGCAGAACGACAGGUUUAGAGAUAGACUUUUCUUCGGACGUUUUGCAAGGUGCUGCAUGGUUGUCGUCAGCUCGUGCCG
RNAcentral lists this ribosomal RNA (287 nucleotides) under uncultured bacterium. Its description in RNAcentral is "partial 16S ribosomal RNA". It matches the Rfam family "Bacterial small subunit ribosomal RNA", at positions 775 to 1067 of the family's 1533-position model. The record is from RNAcentral.